This is a long non-coding RNA of Hydractinia symbiolongicarpus, 841 nucleotides long. RefSeq lists it as uncharacterized. The transcript has 3 exons. Lineage: Eukaryota; Metazoa; Cnidaria; Hydrozoa; Anthoathecata; Hydractiniidae. The record is from RefSeq and is a predicted model, not a curated record.
UAUUUUUCUUAUUUUUAUUGAUUUUUGAUUUGAGUUCUUUUUUAAGUAUCGCAAAACAAUUUCAUGCGAAAGAGGAAAGCAACUUAAAACUCAGUUAUUCGAAAGAUUCAUUAUACAAAUAUUAUUCACUUUGUUAUGCCACAGCUAACAGAAUAGCAGACAUAUAUAAGUACAACUUCCUUGUUCGUUUUCUAUAAAAAGAGAUUGUAAAUCUUAUCGAAAUUUAUACUAUCAUUCAUGUUUUGAAAGAAGUUUCAAUAAGAAAUUAUUCAAGAGAAAGAUGAAAAAUCUUCCACAAAUGUCAAAUUAUUUGACAACAGCUUGUGUAAUAUUAAUUAGCUUAACACUUUGUUGCAGCAGAAGUGUGGAAAGAAAGGUUGAUAACGUUGGAAAGAAAGCGAUAAACUUGAUGCCAGGUAAAAAUUAAACUAGCCAGGAAAUAUGGAAACAGGCGUAUCAACUUAAAUGGAGAAUUUUUCAUUGGUAUUUUUGAGCUGCUACAUAUCUGGACUUGAAAAAUAGUUUUCACUCUGAACAGGUUGCAUUGUGAUAUUUUGCAGACCGGAAUAUGUGAAAACCAACUGCACCCCUACUGGAUAAGCGAACCUUGAUCUAUUUUAAUCAAAAAAAUUUGUUAUAAUUUUGUUUGGCAAAUGUAUCAGUGUCUUAGAAAAUGGCUAUUUCCAUCAAAACAGUAUAUAAAAGUAUAUAUCAUAUUUUGGAGGAUUCUUUCCUCCAAGAUCAUAACAAACUCAAGUCAAUUUUCAAGUUAUUAUAGAAAGAAACGUGUAUUUUAUGGAAAUCACUAAUACUUAAAUAACAGCUAUGGGGCUGGACGGUU